AUGGCGGCGACGACGACGGCGCCAUGUGCAGCGCGCAGCGCAUCGCGUUGCGUUGCGUGGCAUAUCGCAUUAUUGUUUCUGUGGACGCAGACCAAGUCCAAAACGAUCGAGCAGGGUGUCGGGUUGGUUUCUUGGUUCGGUGUGCAGACUAUUGACAGGUUCGAGAUCACUGACGACCAGAACAUCGCCGGCGAGAUGCUGACACGGCGGCGAAGGAUGCUCUACCGUGUAGUAGCAUCACCGGUGUUGCCAAUACCAAGUGAAGGGGUCAUGGAUGUGCUGGGAUAUGAUAUGGUUUUACGUGUAAAACACUAGCAGAAAAAAG
This 325-nucleotide long non-coding RNA is filed under the name Oryza sativa Indica Group (long-grained rice). RNAcentral describes it as "lncRNA OsMH63_01G041850". The record is from RNAcentral. Lineage: Eukaryota; Viridiplantae; Streptophyta; Magnoliopsida; Poales; Poaceae.